RNAcentral lists this ribosomal RNA (433 nucleotides) under uncultured bacterium. RNAcentral describes it as "partial 16S ribosomal RNA". It matches the Rfam family "Bacterial small subunit ribosomal RNA", at positions 29 to 507 of the family's 1533-position model. The record is from RNAcentral.
AACGAACGCUGGCGGCAUGCCUAACACAUGCAAGUCGAACGAGACCUGCGGGUCUAGUGGCGCACGGGUGCGUAACGCGGGGGAACCUGCCCUUAGGUUCGGAAUAACUCCCCGAAAGGGGUGCUAAUACCGGAUAAUGUCUUCGGACCAAAGAUUUAUCGCCUUUGGAUGGGCCCGCGUUGGAUUAGCUAGUUGGUAGGGUAAAAGCCUACCAAGGCGACGAUCCAUAGCUGGUCUGAGAGGAUGAUCAGCCACACUGGGACUGAGACACGGCCCAGACUCCUACGGGAGGCAGCAGUGGGGAAUAUUGGACAAUGGGCGAAAGCCUGAUCCAGCAAUGCCGCGUGAGUGAUGAAGGCCUUAGGGUUGUAAAGUUCUUUUACCCGGGAUGAUAAUGACAGUACCGGGAGAAUAAGCUCCGGCUAACUCCGUG